UAAGAAUUACGCAGGGAUGAUUAAUUGAGCAUACCUUAAAGCAAUGAGAAGCAUUCUGUGAUCUUAAGCAUGCAGGGAUCCAACAAGAUAAUUGUCUGCGAAGAUCAAUAAAAUUACAUUAAAAUACUUUUACUCUCUGAUUUGAAAUCUUAGCAUCUUAUGCAUGAAAAAUAGAAAUAAAAGGCAAAAAUCAGAUUGCACUUCACGAAACCCAAUCCAAGAAUUCAUCAUCCAAAUUAUCAUUUAUACAGCUCAUGUUUGCAUUUAAAUUCCUGAUGUCAUGACUAAUACUUAAAAAUUUUUUUUGUGAAGAAACAACCAACAGGAUUUGUUCAACAUGCUUGGAUCAAUGUACCUUGCUGUGAUCUUUUUGGGAAUAAGAAACUGUUCAUCAGUUCUGCCAUUCAUAGCAAUUGAGCGAGAUGUCCUGUAUCGGGAAACAUUUGCAGGAAUGUACUCUUCAUGGGCAUAUGCCUUUGCACAGGUGCACCCACCUUUAAGAUAUAAAAUUUUCUCUCUUUGGGUUAUCCAUUGAAGACCACUGAUCCUUUCCUCGUAUCUUAACUACUACACUUCUCUUUUCAGAUGGCCAUUGAGAUCCCCUAUGUAUUUGUCCAAGCAGUACUGUUUAUGGGCAUUGCAUACCCAGGAAUUGGAUUCUACUGGUCUUCCUACAAAUUCUUUUGGUUCUUCUACACAAUGAUCUGCACACUACUUUACUUUAAUUAUCUGGGGAUGUUUCUUGUGUCAUUGACACCAAAUCUUCAAGUGACAUCUGUUCUAACAUCUCCAUUCUAUUCAAUGAUGCAUCUCUUCUCAGGUUUCAUUGUGCCUGGACCAGUAAGUGCUCCAUAAAAAAUUUAUAUUACCGUACUUUUCUGCUUCUACAUCUCAUUUUGUGAGACCCAAAGCUUCAUAUUCUUGGAAUCAGAUUGUGAGAUUACAUCACAUGUAAAGACUAAAGAAUUAUAAUGAUUUUAAGAGGAUACAGAAAGUGGAAAAUCUUUAAUAUGUUCUGUAUAAUAUCCAAGAGAGAAAGAAACCUAUCAAAUGAAACAGUUUUCAGAGAAAAUAAACGAAAUCUAAGAAUUAAUGAAAAAAAAUCAAAAUAAAUAUAUUUCUUCAUUCAAGUUUCAUUGUAUUACGAACUAUUAAUUUGACUCAUUCUUGUUACUAUCCUGCAGAAAAUUCCAAAGUGGUGGAUUUGGUUCUAUCACAUCGUCCCAACAUCCUGGACUCUCAAGGGACUCUUCAUUUCACAAUAUGGGGACAUAGACAAGGAGAUUACAGUGUUUGGAGAAUCAACAUCGAUUGCGUCCUUUAUAGAUGAUUACUAUGGUUUCCACCAAAACCAGCUGCCUCUUGUGGCUGUUCUCCUAAUUCUUUACCCUCUUAUCAUCGGUUCUCUGUUCUCGGUUUGUAUAGGGAGGGUAAAUUUCCAGAGGAGGUGAUUGGACACAGGAAGAGUUGCACACACAUCAUGUAUACUUCUAAUUCGUAGGAAAAUAUUCAUGAAUAUUCCACAACAGACUACUACAGAAAUGAAGACUAGCAUCAGAUGUUACCCAUCAGAGUCCCUAAAGGGCUAGUCCAAAUAAGGUGUGCCUGCGGCUGGACUUUCCCUGAGGUUGAUGCACUCUCACUUCCAACAAUCUCACUGAUAACUUCCUCCUGUUUAUCCGAUUGUACCAGAAGAAAAGUUAGAGUGUAUGAUAAACCUUGAGCUUUAAAAUUGAGUUUAGCAGCACUUUGCAUAGCUCAGAUCAUUUUUUCCUGAUUUUAAAGAGAAAAAGAGAAAACUUGAUUCGUAUCAGUACAGCUGUGAAAAAAAUGGGGCGAAUUCUGCAACCCAGUACGGCCUGGGCCAGAAAGAAAAGUAUGAGCUUUCCCAGUGCAUAUUUGUCGAGUUAAGGAUACAUGCAAACAUACAUGACGCAUGUACAUCCAUAUAUAUAUAUGCAUACACACACAGAUAUAUAUAUAUAUAAAUAUAUAUAAUAGAGAGAGAGAGUCCAUUCAGAUAUAUAAGAAGAAAACCAAGUGAAGAACUAGCAAGGAAAAGACAGUUUCUAGUGACUGCAGAUGAAUUCUGAGUUGGCAGAAGUUUUUAUCAAUCAGCAGGACAUUUAGCUUGCAUAAAAAACUAAAAACACUAUUAAAUUAUAGAGGAAUUAGAAUCCCUACAAAUCAGAUUGGCGACUGAUGUGCAUGCUGGCGGAUUGAGCAUGAAUAGAUUCUCAGUACAGCUGCAUCUGACAUGACCAAACAGACACACAAAUCUUCCACUUUACAAGAACCAUCUAUAAGCCAACAGGCUAUGCUUUUCAAGCAGAUCUAGCUAUAACAUGAACAACCUUUGAAAUUAGUGAAUAUGGUUGACUCACACUUCAUGCUUGACUACAACACAAAUGGCUGCAAGGACGAGGUAGAGGAUAAUGGUGUGGUAUCCUUGAAUAGGGAGAGGGAUGAAUGGCUGUACAAUAAUUCAGGACUAGUCCUAACAUUAACGCUCCUGAAUACUUAAGUGAACACAUGAGCAGACUAGGAUCUCUUUAUAGAAAUGUUUCUGCAAAUGGUACGCUCUAAUAAUCAAGCACUGUGAACGAAUUAUCAUCCCAGAGAAGACACAUGAUUUACAAGAGUUAGACUAAGAGGAGAAAACCUAAAAAAGAAAUUUAUCAAUGGAAACGUCUUCAAGAAUGGUAUCUUUUAACGAUAAAAAAUUAUCAACAGAUGACAACGCAUAUAAGAGGAGGGACAUGAUUUACACCGUUGCAAAUCAUGUGAGAUGUAAAUUAGAAAAGAAAACCUAUUUAUAGAAGUGUCUCCAAGAAUGGCAAUUUCAAACAUUCCAUAAUUAUGAAAUUACGUCCAUGAGAGAAGUUACAUGAUUUAGACUACCGAUACUUCAGGAAUAUGCCACCCAAGAUAUUUCCAAGAGCAAAUAUAAUGAAAAAAUAUCACACCCAUGAGAGAGGCAUAAUUUACAUUGUGUCUCGUGAGUGUUAUGCAGAACAAGUCUUCCAUAUCAUCAGGAUUUCCAUUUAUUUUUCUUUUCCUAUUUUAUUUUUAGAUGUAUUUUCUCUUUUUCGUGUUUCUGUUAUUAACCUUUCUGUAAAUACCGGAAAGGUUGUUAGAUGCCAAUAUAAAUAUUACUGCCCUGAGAAGGGUUAGGUCAGUUUUUCUUUUCUUGAAGCAUGGUAUCAGAGCUUUCUCUCUGAUCCUACAAGAAGACUGCCGACGGAAGAUCAACCAACCUAUGUCAAGGCAGUAUGACCACGUGAUUUUCUUUCUAUCUGCAGUACCUGAAACGUGAGGUUUCUUGGUCGUACGCAGACCGGCGGAUUCCUUGGAGAGUCAUACGUCAUCAUCGUUUUUAGAAGGUGGCAAGACAACUGCGAAUACAACAUUGUCAUUUUUCUGACAGUGGCAGACGUCUGUGAGUACACCAUUCUCAUUUCUUGAGGGUGGCAGUCAUUCUUAGUUUCUUGAACAGGAACUGUUAUUCGUACCACAUCAAGGAAUCUCUAUUUGAGAUUUUUUUCUUUGGCUAUUAUAGAACAUGGAGACAAAGGCCAGUGAAUCUUCCUCCUCUGGCCCAAGACAAUCAUUCGAAGUAAUUAAGGUAUGUUUAGACCUACCUAGAAUUGCUGAGAGAUUCUGAUUUGAUGGAAUCAAUUUGCUGCAAUAGACAUCGUAUGUGGAACUUAUUCUACGUGGGAGAAAUCUGGAUCAUCACUUGAUGCAAUCCUCACCAAGUAUUGACAACCCAGGAUAUUCUCGGUGGAAAGAAGAAGUACUUAUUCAAUAUUGGAUGCUGGACAAUAUUUCAUCAAAGAUAAGUGAUAGAUUUCUUUUUCUGAAAUUUGUGAGGGAAUUAUGAGACAAAAUUCGUCGCGGUCACUCUACUAAACAUGACGAAUCCCAAAUUUAUAGAUUGGUACAGAAAUCUCUAACUUUGGUAUAAGGAACAUUGACUGUUUUGGAAUAUGCUUGUGAAUUAGAAUCCAUAUGGAGAGAAAUCGACCACUACAGACCAAUCAAGAACCUUGAUGCUAAAGAAAGAAAUUACAUCAUGAAAGACAGGUUGUAUAAGUUUCUGAUGAGACUAAAUCUAGAGUAUGAGACUCUAGUAAAUCAGAUCCUUGCUCGAGAAGUAGUACCAGACAUUGAAGAAGCAAUUGCAUUAGCCAGACAAGAAGAAAAUACUAGAAGUUUGAGAAAUGAUUUAAAGAUAGAAAAUGUUGCGUUCAGUGCUCUCAAGAGUAAAGAUAACUCUAGAUUUAAAAAGGGGAAUGAGAAAGUACCAUUCAUCAAAAGAGAUCCCAAGACUGAUCCAAAGGCACACCUAUUCUGCACGUAUUGUCAGAAAAAUCGUCAUACUAGGGAAACAUGUUGGAAGAUCCAUGGCAAACUACCGAGCUAUGGUAAGUUGCAUUUGGCUAAUGCUCAAAAUGAAGAUGGUGUUAUCCCAAUGAUACAAGGAGGAAUUAGUCAAGAUGGAUUGACUUCCUCUCAGCCUUCAGAUAUUGGAAAACUUAGAGAAGAAAUUGAACAGCUGAGAAGCAUGAUCAGCUCCACUUCUCUCACACAUGCUAGUAAGCAUUUUCCUAAAUGUUUUCUAUUAUACUUAAAUACAUCAUCAUUAGCAUCACCAUCACCCUUGAAAGUAUCUUGGAUUAUUGAUUCUGGAGCUACUGAUCAUAUGACAUCAUACGCAUCACUAUUUAUAACAUAUGAGGUAUGUAUCAAUAAUUGAAAGGUUAUUACUGCAAGUGGAGAUUUAUUACCUGUAAUUGGCAUUGGAUCAAUUCAUCUUGAGAAAUUGGGGUUAUUAAGAUAUGUUCUUCAUGUACCAAGAUUGAAUACACAUCUAUUGUCAUUGAGAAAAUUGGGCAAAGACUUGAAUUGUGUAAUAUUAUUUGACAAUGAUUUAUGUUUCUUCUAUGGCAAGACCUCGGGCAAGAGGAUUGAGCAUGUUAGAGCAUAGGAUGGACUCUACUACACAAGGCGUAUGGACAGGCCAUUGUUGACGAAUUCUAGUUCAAAUAUUUCAACUUUUGUGUCUGCUUCUCCCUUGAACAAAUUGUUGUUGUUGCAUUGUCGUUUAGGACAUCCGUCCAUAAAAGUACUUUGAUACUUGUUUCCAAGAUUAUGUCGUGCAAUUGGUGAAUCUACUUUCGUAUGUGAACCCUAUCAAAUGGCUAAACAGCGACGUAUUUCAUUUCCCUCCUCUGGAAAUAAAAGUGAAUCCCCUUUUUACAGAAUACAUUCUGAUAUAUGGGGUCCUUCUUCAUCUGGUGGUAUUAAGGACUUCAGAUGGUUUAUCAUCUUUAUAGAUGAUUAUACUAUAUUCACAUGGAUUUACUUAAUGAAAACAAAAUUAGAAGCCAGCAAUGUUAUUCCAAGGUUUAUCAAGCUAAUUCAAAAUCAGUUCAGUAUAACCCCGAAGAGAUUUCGACCAGAUAAUGUUAAAGGUUUCUUCAAUUCUACUGUAUCUAAUUUCUUUACUAAGAAAGGUAUUGUUCAUGAAUCUUCUUGCCCAUAUACACCCCAGCAAAAUGGGGUAGCAGAAAGAAAGAUUGGGCAACUGCUGAGAAUAACAGGGGCUAUCAUGUUUAAAGCCUAAGUGCCGAAGUACUUAUGGAGUGAGGCAGUACUAAUUGCCACUCAUCUUGUUAAUCGUCUCCCAUUAGAAGCGCUAUUAUUUAAGACCCCCAAAGCCUUACUACAAGGCCAUUAUCUAACUGUGUAAUAUGGACUAGAUUUACCUCUUCGAGUGUUUGGGAGUAUUGCAUACAUCCACCAAUCUCAUAAUAGAUUGUCUAGGUUUGCUCCAAGAGUCAUAAAGGCUGUUUUUGUGGGCUAUUCCAAUACACAAAAAAGGUAUAAAUUUUAUGACCCAAGAUCUAGAAAAAUUAUUGUGACGAUUAAUGUCACAUUUGAUGAAAAUAAUAUGUAUUUUCAGCAGACAACAGCUCAAGAAUCUAGUUGUGGUAUUCCUAUGCUAGAAAAACAUGAUUUACAUAUUGAUAUUCUCAAGGAAAAUGAAGCUCCUAAAACAAUAUCAGCACCUCCACCACAUAUUGAGAUUAUCAAGGAGAAUGAAGAUCCUAAAACAAUAUCAGCACCGCCACUUACACCUCCCAAUCGAUUUGGUCGAAAUUAUUAUCAAAAAAAGUCAAAGACAACUAGAGGGAACCAUAAACAGGAUCUACAUGAUGCAGUAGAUGCCCAUGAUUCUACUAUUGAAUGUGACAAAUCAUUGAUUGACCAACAAUAUGAACAUGAUGUACUUGAUGUAGCAAAUGCCCAUGAACAGGAUCAACAAAACCUUCUUAUUACUCAAGGAGAUGAAAUCUGCCCUAUUGCUCUUCACAAAGGAGCUAGAGAAUGUACAAAGAAGAAGGUAUAUCCAUCAUGUAAUUAUGUGUCAUAUCAUUGUCUAUCUCCACAAUACAAGUCAUUUAUGUCAGCUAUUGAUAAACAUGAUAUCCCUCAAAAUAUUGAUGAAGCUUUAAGAAGCCUCCUAUGGAAAAAGGCAAUAGAUGAUGAGAUGUUAGUUUUUAUAGAAAAAUCAAACUUGGGAACUCAUGUUGCUUUCUAAAGGGAAGAAAACAGUGGGUUGUAAAUGGAUAUAUACUAUUAAGUAUAAAUCCGAUGGGACUGCCGAGCAUUUUAAAGCUCAGUUGGUGGCAAAAGGCUUCACCCAAUGUUAUGGUAUUGAUUAUAUGGAAACUUUUGCCCCAGUUGCGAAGAUGGGAACAGUUUGGAUAUUAAUAUCAUUAGCUGUGCAUUAUGGAUGGUCUUUGUUACAAUUUGAUGUGAAAAAUACAUUCUUGCAUGGAGAAAUCUCAGAAAAAAUAUAUAUGGAUCUCCCACCAAGGUACAAAAACCCAAAUGAUACUCUAAAAGUAUGCAAACUUAAGAAAGCAUUAUAUGGAUUAAAACAGUCACCAAGAGUUUGGUUUGGCCGCUUAACUAAAACAAUGCGAGCAUUGGGGUUCAAAUAAGCCAAUGGAGAUCAUACCUUAUUUUAUGAACGAUCAAGCUUAGGAAAAUGGCAAUCUUAUUAGUAUAUGUUGAUGACAUGAUUGUCACUAGAGAUGAUAUGUAAGAAAUCACUUCUCUUCAAAAACAAUUGACAGCUGUUUUUGAUAUCAAAGUGUUAGGACAACUAAAAUACUUCUUGGGAAUUGAGGUAGCCUACUCUCGUGAAAAUUUAUUUUUAUCUCAAAGAAAAUAUAUUACAGAUUUACUCAAACAUAUAGGCAUGAGUAACUGUAAACCAGCAAGUACACUAAUUGAAGCGAAGCGCUAUAUUAGGGCUUCAAAGGAGAGCGAUCAAAUAGACAAGGGAUCUUAUCAACGGCUAGUGGGAAAAUUAAUUUAUCUAUCCCAUACUAGACCAGAUAUUGCUUACUUAGUUGGAGUGCUCAGUCAAUAUAUGCAUGACCCUAGGGAAGUGUAUCAUCAAGCUACUCAACGAGUCUUAGCCUAUCUUAAAGGAACAAUUGGCAUGAGAAUCCUAUUUAAAAAAGAAGAUUCUCUUACAGUAGGCAUCUAUACUAAUGCUGAUUAUGCUGGUUCAAUUGAUGAUAGGCGCUCUACUAUUAGGUAUUAUUGUCUCAUUGGAGGAAAUUUGGUUACUUGGUGAAGCCAAAAAUAGAGAGUUGUAGCUCGUUCAAGUGCCGAAACAGAAUUUAGGGCUAUGGCUCUUGGGAUUUGUGAAGGCAUUUGGAUAAAGAGUAUACUAAAUGACUUACAAAUACCAAUAGAAGGUCCAAUUACCUUGUACUAUGACAAUCAGUUCGCAAUAAGUAUUGCGCAUGACCCUAUUCAGCAUAACAAGACCAAACACAUUGAAGUAGACAGACAUUUUAUUAAAGAGAAACUUGAAUCAAGAAUAUUUUGCACAAAGUAUGUCUCAUCUACAAGUCAAUUGGCUGAUAUAUUAACAAAGGGCAUUUCUGUAACAGAGUUCUGCAAACAAAGGAGCAAGCUGGGCAUGAAUGAUAUCCAUGCACCAGCUUGAGAGGGAGUGUUACGCAAAACAAGUCUUCCAUAUCAGGAUUUCCGUUUAUUUUUCUUUUCCUAUUUUAUUUUUAGAUGUAUUUUCUCUUUUUCAUGUUUCUGUUAUUAACCUUUCCAUAAAUACUGGAAAGGUUGUUAGACGCCAAUAUAAAUACUGGCGUACUGCCCUGAGAAGGUUUAGGUCAGUUUUUCUUUUCUUGCUUCCACUGUAUCUUGAAACAGUGAGCGACAUAAAACAAUGAAAGAAUUUUCAAUGAUUAAAAAUGCAGACGAUGCAAGACAAGCUAAACAAGGUGGUGAUCCAUUUCCCCUGUGGUUUCAGCAUGUGUGCUCGCCAUGAAUCAGCCCAGCCCGACAAGGGGGCACUUAGGCAGCUUCCGCCCUGCAUCCUCUGAAGUAGCCAUACUGUCAAGAAGGCACUGAUAGUUGAAUACAUGGCCACAGGGGGCACACGAGAACUCAUGUCCAACCUCAUAGUCGUCCCAACAUAUGGGGCGUUGCUCUUCUUCUUGGUACUUGCCUUCACCAGGCCCAUAAUUGACUGCCCUGAAUGCUGCCAUUACUUUCCCCAGUGAGUCCCGCCUGGUUACCAAGGCCCGGGCACAAGUUCCAGAGCUUGUUGGGUGCAGAAUAGCUCCAAGAGGUAAAAAGAGGAAUGCAUAGGAGCCUAUCAGCACAAGGAUAGAAAUUGUAAGUAGGCAAAGAAUCCCAGUGAUCUGCCAGCCGUUUAACUAUCCACUUAGGUAAGUGACCCAUUAAAUGAUAAGUGCCCAUCGGCCUUCCUGCAGCUGCAGAUCUCCCAUAUUACUGUAUGUGAAAUUCAUUUCCAUAAAAUAGAAAUGAAAGGUGGCUAUGGCAAGCUGCGCGGAAAACAACAGCAAGAGAAAAAGAUGGGAAUCGUAACCCAAGGGAAGGGAAGUUCAUAACUGUUAGCUUGUAGCAUUAUAAAAAGAUUGAGAGAGAGGCAUAGAGACACAGACAGAAAAAUAGAGAAAGGUUAUGCUGCCUAGCUUCACAGACUGUUCAUUUACUAAAUCAAGAAAAUGUUUAAAAUAAAGAGAGAGAGAGAGAGAGAGAGAGAGAGAGAGAGAGAGAGAGAGANNNNNNNNNNNNNNNNNNNNNNNNNNNNNNAGAGAGAGAGAGAGAAGCAAUUUACGUGAGCUCACAGAUCAAAUGUUGCAAUUAUUGAAGUUUAAAAAAAUAAAAAAAGAUUCGGGAUAUGUAAAGAACAAAUGGAUUAUUCAGUAACGUGUAAUUGCUGAGAAAGCAUGGAAGGAAGUGGCUAGACAUGAUUUGAUAAGGCUUUCCUUACAAUAUGACUUAAUACUCCACAGAAACUUGUGAAGAAAAUAUCUUACAUUAUCUUCUUUUUCCAUGUUACUCCUUAAAUCGAAGAUUUAUAUCAAUAUAUGCACUGCUCUCAGUAAAAUGUAUAGUUAUUUAAUCCAAAAGAAAUAAGUUUUAAAUUAUUCACUCAAUACGCAGGAAAAUUAGUUGAAAACUAUCCUUAUAGUCAUUAACAGUAAUGAAAUCAGUAUAAGAAUUGCUUAACAGCGCAUGUUCUGCAGAAGAAAACUGAACAGGACACUGAACAUAUGAAAUAGCCUUUCCCGUAGGGUAGUUUCACACUUGAAGCAAACCACUUGUAGACAAGAUAAAUAACCCUUCACAGGGAAUAAAAGAAAAUAUUUUUAAUUUCAGGAACAGAACUUUCUUAUGCUAGGAAGUUCAACAUGGGCUCGUCAUUUACCCAUUUUAUUUGGGUUAAUCUAUUUAAAAAGAAGCCAAAGCUACCUAUCGCCUUGAUAAGAAAAUUUAAAGAAGAAAGAUUCAAGAGGAUCCCAUGCACUGAAUAUUCAUAACUGGAGAUAUUUGGUGAGCCGAGACGGUGUGAAGAAGUAAAAACGAAAAGUGCUCCAUUGACUGAAACCCUGAAGCAAUUCACAACAAGAGAUCCUAUGCCACAUCGAUUUUCAAUCAAAUGAAACGAAUCUUACUUGGAAUAGACACAAGAAUUGAACCUGCCACGUCAAUUUAGCUUCUUAUCUUAUUAAACCUCAAUGCUUUCUGCUAUGGAGGGAUGAACCUUAAUGUCUCAUGAUGCAAAAAACUUUACUAAUAAUUACAAAGAUCAUCUUUCCUGAUAGGUCUGUUCUACAGUCCUUGUUAAUCCUGUCUGGUCGGCAAGCUAUAAUUCUACAAUGUAUCAUGAUCAUUAACAUCUUCAUCACUGCAGCUCAAAUAACCUGAAAUCCUCUGAGAAUCAUACGAUUUUCUGGAGCAUACUGGACGGACUUCAUUUAAAACAAGCAAUUAACAGUAACAGUUAAUGCUCUCGUAUCAGGAAGGGGACCAGAGAUGGGGGAGGAGCGAGAGAGAGAGAGAUGUUACAAAAGAAAAACUUUUCAGCAAGUAAAAUAAUUCGCCCACGGGGAAGAACAAGAAGGGAAAGAAUAAUCCACUCGGCCUCAAACAUCCACACAUAUUGGCGACCAAAAUAAAAGAAGACUCUCCGCAACCACGGACCUCCUCCAAGGGCUCCGCAAACAUCCUCCGAGGAUUCUGAUGGACUCGAGGCGUCGAAGAAGGCAAAGUAGAAAAUGAUGGGCCCAAUGAGAGAAGAAGCGCUCGAUGGCAAUAAAGCAAUCUCUCUGACGCGUGAGGCCAACCGAAAUAACGACCUCGCGAAGGUUCCAGAGCCUUCAGCCUGAGGGACAACCCACAGGAGGAGCCGAGCUAGAGUUUGUUGGGUGACAGAUCACAUCUCUCUCUCUCUCUCUCUCUCUCUCUCUCUCUCUCC
This 10834-nucleotide long non-coding RNA is filed under the name Spirodela polyrhiza (greater duckweed). Its description in RNAcentral is "long non-coding RNA (SPOL_LNC001889)". The record is from RNAcentral. Lineage: Eukaryota; Viridiplantae; Streptophyta; Magnoliopsida; Alismatales; Araceae.